CCUACGGGAGGCAGCAGUGGGGAAUUUUGGACAAUGGGCGAAAGCCUGAUCCAGCAAUGCCGCGUGAGUGAAGAAGGCCUUCGGGUUGUAAAGCUCUUUUGUCAGGGAAGAAACGGUGAGAGCUAAUAUCUCUUGCUAAUGACGGUACCUGAAGAAUAAGCACCGGCUAACUACGUGCCAGCAGCCGCGGUAAUACGUAGGGUGCAAGCGUUAAUCGGAAUUACUGGGCGUAAAGCGUGCGCAGGCGGUUUUGUAAGUCUGAUGUGAAAUCCCCGGGCUCAACCUGGGAAUUGCAUUGGAGACUGCAAGGCUAGAAUCUGGCAGAGGGGGGUAGAAUUCCACGUGUAGCAGUGAAAUGCGUAGAUAUGUGGAGGAACACCGAUGGCGAAGGCAGCCCCCUGGGUCAGGAUUGACGCUCAUGCACGAAAGCGUGGGGAGCAAACAGGAUUAGAUACCCUGGUAGUCCACGCCCUAAACGAUGUCUACUAGUUGUCGGGUCUUAAUUGACUUGGUAACGCAGCUAACGCGUGAAGUAGACCGCCUGGGGAGUACGGUCGCGAAGAUUAAAACUCAAAUGAAUUGACGG
Molecule: ribosomal RNA, 586 nt
Filed under: uncultured bacterium
Lineage: Bacteria
Description: bacterial SSU rRNA
Rfam family: Bacterial small subunit ribosomal RNA
Source: RNAcentral